GGUUAAAGUAGUAAGGGCGCAGGGUGGAUGCCUUGGCACUAAGAGCCGAUGAAAGACGUGAUAAGCUGCGAAAAGCUUCGGGGAGGAGCAAAUAUCCCGUGAUCCGGAGAUGUCUGAAUGGGGAAACCCGCAUGAGAAGACCUCAUGCAUCCAUACGCCAAUCCAUAACGUAUGGAAGGGAACCCGGGGAACUGAAACAUCUAAGUACCCGGAGGAAAAGAAAGAAAACUCGAUUCCGUAAGUAGCGGCGAGCGAACGCGGAGGAGCCUAAACCGGAGUGCGUGCAUUCUGGGGUUACGGACUGCAUUUAAGAUUCUCAGAGGCUAACAGAACGGUUUUGGGAAAGCCGGCCAGAGAGGGUGAAAGCCCCGUACGUGAAAACCAAGCUGACUGAGCAGGAUCCGGAGUACCACGAGACACGAGGAACCUUGUGGGAAGUAAGGGGGACCACCCCCUAAGGCUAAAUACUACUUAGUGACCGAUAGCGCAUAGUACUGUGAAGGAAAGGUGAAAAGGACCCCGGGAGGGGAGUGAAAGAGAACCUGAAACCCUGUGUCUACAAGCUGUGGGACCUCUUUAUAUGAGGGACUGCGUACUUUUUGUAGAACGGUCCGGCGAGUUGUGCGUACUGGCGAGGUUAAGGACUUAAGGUCUGGAGCCGAAGUGAAAGCAAGCGUUAAUAGCGCGUCAAGUCAGUGAGUGCAGACCCGAAACCGGGUGACCUAUCCAUGUCCAGGUUGAAGCUUCCGUAAGAGGAAGUGGAGGACCGAACCCACAUCCGUUGAAAAGGGUGGGGAUGAGGUGUGGAUAGCGGAGAAAUUCCAAUCGAACCCGGAGAUAGCUGGUUCUCCUCGAAAUAGCUUUAGGGCUAGCCUCAUGAGAGUCUUUUGGAGGUAGAGCACUGAAUUCCCGCGGGGGCGUCAAAGCUUACCAAAGGAUAUCAAACUCCGAAUGCCAGUAAGAUGAUUCAUGGGAGUCAGACUGCACGAGAUAAGUUGGGCAGUCAAAAGGGAAAGAGCCCAGACC
This 1026-nucleotide ribosomal RNA is filed under the name Escherichia coli. RNAcentral describes it as "partial 23S ribosomal RNA". It matches the Rfam family "Bacterial large subunit ribosomal RNA", at positions 1 to 1033 of the family's 2925-position model. Lineage: Bacteria; Pseudomonadati; Pseudomonadota; Gammaproteobacteria; Enterobacterales; Enterobacteriaceae. The record is from RNAcentral.